This 468-nucleotide ribosomal RNA is filed under the name uncultured bacterium. Its description in RNAcentral is "partial 16S ribosomal RNA". It matches the Rfam family "Bacterial small subunit ribosomal RNA", at positions 28 to 507 of the family's 1533-position model. The record is from RNAcentral.
GAUGAACGCUGGCGGCGUGCUUAACACAUGCAAGUCGAACGGAAAGGCCAGUGCUUGCACUGGUACUCGAGUGGCGAACGGGUGAGUAACACGUGGGUGAUCUGCCCUGCACUUCGGGAUAAGCCUGGGAAACUGGGUCUAAUACCGGAUAGGACAAUGGUUUGGAUGCCGUUGUGGAAAGUUUUUUCGGUGUGGGAUGAGCUCGCGGCCUAUCAGCUUGUUGGUGGGGUAAUGGCCUACCAAGGCGUCGACGGGUAGCCGGCCUGAGAGGGUGUACGGCCAAAUUGGGACUGAGAUACGGCCCAGACUCCUACGGGAGGCAGCAGUGGGGAAUAUUGCACAAUGGGCGCAAGCCUGAUGCAGCGACGCCGCGUGGGGGAUGACGGCCUUCGGGUUGUAAACUCCUUUCGCUAGGGACGAAGCGUAUUUGUGACGGUACCUGGAGAAGAAGCACCGGCUAACUACGUG